This is an RNA transcript of Medicago truncatula (barrel medic), 2757 nucleotides long. RefSeq lists it as uncharacterized. Lineage: Eukaryota; Viridiplantae; Streptophyta; Magnoliopsida; Fabales; Fabaceae. The transcript is spliced from 7 exons. The record is from RefSeq and is a predicted model, not a curated record.
AUCUCUCCCUUUUCUCUCACACCCGAUCAACUCCACUCAGAUUUUUCCAAUCAGUCUAAACCUAACCCCCAAAAUUUUCAUCUCCCACUCAAUCCUAUCGCUUCUUGCUUCCGUCUCCGCCGUCAUCUCUAUCGCUUCCAUCUCCGACGUCAUCUCUAUCGCUUCUUGCUUCCGUCUCCGCCGUCAUCUCUAUCGCUUCCAUCUCCGACGUCAUCUCUAUCGCUUCCAUCUCCGUCGAGUUCAGUUUCCGCUGUCAUUCUACUCCAUCGAUCUCCACCGUUUUACUCCUCCGACGUCUCCUCCAUCACGGAUCUGAACUUUUAACGAACACUUCCUGUAUCAGCCGCCACUUUGUCUCCUCCGGCAACGAGGUUCUUCUCAUAGGUAAUCAACAUCAAACCCUUCAGCAAUUAAUGGUGACUAUAAAGUAUACUCAAAUUGCUGAGAUUUUAGGAGCUGUAAAACCAUUUGAGAGUUGGUUCUUGAUAACAACCAUGAACCAUUUUAUGUGUUCUAAUGUGGAGAGCAGAAUAUUGAAUAGCUUCAUCAUGAUGCAGAAACAGGGGAAGUGUGAUUUCUUACCGAGGGAUAAUCAUAUUUACUCUUUAAAUCUAUAAACAGCAGCAUCGUAAUGAAGGAGAUGUUAGUGAGGGGUGUUGGUUGACUUGAUUUCUUGGACUCAAAAUCUGACGGAUUGAAGACGGUGGUGAAAGGGUGACUGUUCGAUGUAGAAAAUCAGUAUGCGGGUUGCGAAUGUUGUGUUCAUUAUUUUCUCAAAGGAUUUACAUGAUGUUGUGUUAUUGCCUCCUUUGUUGGUUGCUGAUUUUGGUAAUGAUAUCAAUCACUAUGCAACAUUGAUUGAUCCAUGUAACAAUCAAUUUGAUGUUGCGGUUGAAAAAGGAAAAGGUAGUAUAUAUGCUAAACCUAAGGAUUGUUCGCUUUGCGUGAUUUCUAUGAUAUCCGUUUCGGUGCUUGGAUCACUAUGGUAUAUGUUGGGUUGGGUCAGUUUGGAAUAACCAUCUGUCAACUCCCAUUUUUUAUUAUAACUUUUAUAGACAAACUUACUUAUUAUUUCUAUUUUUUCUUGAUUGAUAGAAGUUGGUCUACAAUGGUUUUUGUGAAUCUGCACUGGAUAAAAGGACCACGGCUUUGGUUUUGAUAGACGAUUGUGGCAACAAGUGGAACUGCACUCUUUUUUUAGGAUCUAUAUCGUACUGUCACAGGAAAAUUGCUGGUGAGUGGAAAAAGAUGAUAGCUGCGCACAGAAUUUGUGAAGUUGCACAAAUCAAGCCGGGUGCUCUGAUGGUUGGCAAAAAUGAAAUUGUUUACCUUGAAUUCAUCCCAAUUUUAUGUCUCUGCAUGCUACUGUUUUGUGUGCAGGUGACUUUUCAAGGUGAAUCUAUUGCAUUGUUCUUCCCUUUUUUGUUUUUAUUUUAUUUUCUUAUACCUUUUGUUCUUCUUAAAUUUUGUCACUACCUAUUAAUUUUAUAUUUAUGGAAUCAGUGGAAAAUUUAUUUACUUUACUUUCAUUCAUCUUAUAUUUUAGGAUGACUUGAAAUAUACGUAUGUGGUUAUGUACUUCAACUCAAUUGCCUUUCUUAGGGUCUUAUGCAAUUUACACUCAUCACCAAAUUUAUCAGUUAUGUAUAUUGACUAUGAAUUCAAAAAAAUGAAAUAAAUGGAGCACUUGAUUUAUUUAUCAUUGUUAUUGAAAGCAAUACAAUAACUAUAAAAUAGUGUCAUAACAGAGAGUGAAGUAGUAUAUAGUAGUGAUUUUAAAAUUAGUAUUGAAAAGUAUAGCAUUGCAUUUAGAAAGUUGUAUUCUUAUGUGUAAUAUUAAAAAGUAAAGUUGUUUUUAUAGGUAAAAUAUAUGAUCUGAAUAUUUAGCUUAUGAAUAUUGUUUUGGCAGAAAUGAUUUCAUUUUUUCAAAGUUGGUUGUGCCGGCACUAUCUAGGACUAUGUGAAGUAAACAUGAAGAAUAGAGCAAAUACAAGAAGAAUUUCUUUCGGAAAAUUUGUCCUACUGCUUAUUAAUUUACAUAUCCAGCAGGUGCUAACAACUUCAAAUAGGCACCAUGGUUGUUAGUAUAAUUAAAGGAUGGAUUUAAGGUGUUUCAAGCUUGGAGAAAUACUUUUCUUAGGAGUAGUGGUUUAUGAUGAUUGACUGUGGAGUAACUUUGAGAGUAGAAUUAGGAACUGAGCAGACAAAAAAAACCAUCAUUAAAGUUAGAAGUCCAUAAUUUGUCUCUCAAAGUUACGAUUUUUCUAACACAGUCAAACUAUAUAUCAAAAGUAAAACUUUCCAGGCUCACAGGCAGAACGGAAAGUAGAAGAUAAAAAACCAAAGCAUCAUGACAACAAUAGUGCCUAUUUGAUCUUUUGUUAGCAACCAUGCUUUAUGCAAAGGUGCAGGGCACAUGUAAAAGUGACGUUGCAUAAAAAUGACAAUGAGAAACAGUUCAACAAGCCUUUGAUAUCAUGAGUGAAAAAUGCGGUUGAAGUUUGAUCAAAGUUCCAAGAGUGUGGCAGCAGAUUUUGUCCUAAGAGAUAGAUUGUAUUAGUGAUAAUGUUUGGCAAUUGACAAGUGGUAUUAGAAACUCAAGAAAUGAGCUGAUAGAAGUAGUCAAGGAUUGUGUGUAGUGCUGCUAAAUUUGAGAGUUUGUAUGGCUAAAAUAUGUAAUUUAUACAUUGAGAAUAAGAAACAGAAAAAUUGUACUUGAUAUAAAUAAAUUUAGUGAGGCUCGAUCGUUUUUCUUUA